AAGGAAACAUAAUAGUUAAUACAAGAAUCUUUCAGUUCUUUAACAAUACUUAUCCCUAUUCCUCAAUGCCUCUCAGUUUUAAAUUCUCAUUUAUCCUAUUGGCUAUGCAUUUUUUUUUAUCCUAUUCAAAACUGAGUAUUGUUUAUCCAGAUAAUCUUAAUUCUUUUCAAAAGAAUACUGAAUUAAUAAAGUCUUUUAGUCUUUCUGCAUCACAGUGGGAUUUUCCUUAAGACACCAGAAAGGAACAAUGGGUCAACUGAAGCGUCAUAAUGAUCUAUUGUGUCACUUAGGUGGACUUAUUUUCAUCUCUGUCCAUGCUUAUGUCAGAGUCGCAUGCAUACUUGGAAGGCCACAGCAUGUGUAAGACAUCAGUCCAGGAGAUUCAGUGAGCUGGGACUCCUUUAGCCUGACCUUGGUCAGGAGUGACAUCUAUUUUCUGGCUGAUUGCACACAUAUUUGCAAACUGUGUGCAGAUGAAACUAAUUUGUUUUUAUGCAAGUUUUUUUUUUCUGUGUGACCAUAAAAAAGUGGGUGUUGGCUAGACUCUGGGCAGGACACCUUCCCCCCAUUUGACAGCUACAGAAAUAGCUGAUGAAGGAUGUGUCUCUGCUUGAGUUCACAAAUGGAAGGAACCUCUGGGUUUAGACCAGUGUAUGGAACACGGCUGGAGCCCAGGGACCAUUUUCAUGUAUGUGAUCAUCUUCAGGCCAUCUUGCUCUACCCAUCCCAUCAUGCAUCUGGAGCAGCUGAGGGUCCAGACGGUACUCGACUGAGAGCCAUGCUUGUGUGUCUCAUUCUAGUGGACUGAGACUGGACGUCUAGACGACAUUUGUGUCCUGCAUUGCCAGGGGUGAUGGCUUUAUGCAAAUGCAGCAGUGUUAAGAAAACAUGCUGAUCUAGGGCUCUAGUCAUGUGACUCGGAGGGCUGUCACAGUUGGACAAUGAAUGAUUCCUUUCUGUUUUUCAUGCUUGUUUGUGUAGGAUGUUUGAUUUAUUAGAGGUGGGU
Cyprinus carpio carpio is the source of this 1006-nucleotide long non-coding RNA. NCBI's taxonomy places the organism in Eukaryota, Metazoa, Chordata, Actinopteri, Cypriniformes, Cyprinidae. The record is from Ensembl.